AGAGUUUGAUCAUGGCUCAGGAUGAACGCUAGCUACAGGCUUAACACAUGCAAGUCGAGGGGAAACGACAUCGAAAGCUUGCUUUUGAUGGGCGUCGACCGGCGCACGGGUGAGUAACGCGUAUCCAACCUGCCCAUCACGUUGGGGAUAACCUUGCGAAAGUAAGACUAAUACCCAAUGACGUCUCUAGAAGACAUCUGAAAGAGAUUAAAGAUUUAAUCGGUGAUGGAUGGGGACUGCGUCUGAUUAGCUUGUUGGCGGGGUAACGGCCACCAAGGCGACGAUCAGUAGGGGUUCUGAGAGGAAGGUCCCCCACAUUGGAACUGAGACACGGUCCAAACUCCUACGGGAGCA
This 354-nucleotide ribosomal RNA is filed under the name uncultured bacterium. RNAcentral's name for it is "bacterial SSU rRNA". It matches the Rfam family "Bacterial small subunit ribosomal RNA", at positions 8 to 349 of the family's 1533-position model. The record is from RNAcentral.